RNAcentral lists this transfer RNA (72 nucleotides) under Vischeria cf. polyphem. Its description in RNAcentral is "Eustigmatos cf. polyphem tRNA-Glu". It matches the Rfam family "tRNA". Rfam says of the family: Transfer RNA (tRNA) molecules are approximately 80 nucleotides in length. The record is from RNAcentral. Lineage: Eukaryota; Eustigmatophyceae; Eustigmatales; Chlorobotryaceae.
GUCCCUUUCGUCUAGUGGUUAGGACAUUGCCCUUUCACGGUAAUAACACGGGUUCAAAUCCCGUAAGGGAUA